AUUCUCGCAAUUUCUUUCGUAACAGAAGCCCAAAUUCGUCAGUUGGAUUUUUUUAGAGAGAAAAUAAACCGAGAGCGGUCUUUUAGUGAGAGAAAGUUCGUAUUAAAGAGACUUGUGGAGUCUUUGUUCGUGCGAUGCGUGGAGGACAGGUGACACGGCAGAAAUGGCGAGAUCAUAUAGCUCUUCUACAUUCUUCAAAUGGCAGAUCGUGAAGCUUCUCUGCUGCUAUAAACCCUAACUGCUUGAUUCUAUUAGUCUGCUCUAUCUUCAUCUUUUUUCUGUAUUACACACUCGAGAGAACUAAUCUUUCGAUUCUGUACAUACUCAGGAAUGGCGGAGGUGGCAAAACUGCUGUAUAUAGUGGUGGUGGACGAGGAGGAGAGGAACGAGAAAGGGAAAGAUUCAUUCCGAUAUACGCGUCCGGUUUUGCAGAGCUCUCUGCAACUCAUGGGAUGUAAAGCGCGUCACGCUUUCAAGAUUAGCCAAAGGGUUUUUGAGCUGAUGAGAAAUGAACCUUCAGGUGAUGCUCUACUUCCUGAAGAAGUGGAAGUAAGUGGGGUUGAUGUUUCAAAAGGAAAUGGGCAGAAGGAAUAUGGAAGCAGGAGUUCAUUUGAAUUGUACAAAAGGCGUACAACUGUAAUGGUUAGAAGAGAGGCUUUCUUAAAUGUUGUUUGCGAUUCUCUGACUGAAUAUAAGUAUGUGGGUCCUAACCAGAGGGCAGACUUGGUUUUGGCAUGCAGAAUUCGAGAAAGGAAGGAAUCUGUAACUGUGCUAUUGUGUGGUACUAGUGGCUGUGGCAAAUCUACUUUGUCUGCAUUGCUGGGUAGUAGACUAGGAGUUACAACAGUAAUUUCUACUGACUCUAUUCGGCACAUGAUGAGGAGUUUUGUUGAUGAGAAGCAAAAUCCUCUGCUCUGGGCUUCAACAUACCAUGCAGGGGAAUUUUUGGAUCCUAAGGCAGUUGCAGAAGCCAAGGCUAAAAAAAAGGCAAAAAAAUUGGCUGGUAUUAUAAACUCAUAUUCCAACGAUGAAGUAUCUGAUGGUUCAUCCUUGGUGAAAUCAGAUAGUCAAGCAGUGGAUAUGAGUUCUGGUGUUACUGAGUAUAUUAGUCCUAAACAAAUGGCAGUUGAAGGAUUCAAGGCACAGAGUGAGAUGGUGAUCGACAGUCUUGAUCGUCUAAUAACUGCAUGGGAAGAGAGGAAAGAAUCAGUGGUUGUUGAAGGUGUUCACUUAAGCCUUAAUUUUGUGAUGGGGCUUAUGAAGAAACAUCCUUCAAUUAUACCAUUCAUGAUAUACAUUACAAAUGAAGACAAACACUUGGAACGAUUUGCUGUUCGUGCCAAGUAUAUGACAUUGGACCCAGCUAAAAACAAAUAUGUGAAAUACAUUCGGAACAUCAGAACAAUCCAAGAUUAUCUUUGCAAACGGGCUGAUAAACAUCUUGUCCCCAAAAUCAACAACACAAAUGUUGACAAGAGUGUAGCAGCCAUCCAUGCAACAGUUUUCAGCUGCCUUCGCAGGCGUGAGGCAGGGGAGCCACUUUAUGAUCCUGCCACAAACACAGUGACUGUUGUUGAUGAGGAGUACAGGAACCAGUGUGCUGCCAAUUCAAUGAGCUCUAAAGGGAUGUUUCAACUUAUCCAGAGGAAAGGUUCUUCUAGGCAUUUGAUGGCCCUUGUUAAUACUGAUGGGUCUGUGGCAAGGGCAUGGCCUGUUGAUUCAGUGGAUCUUAGUGGGAAGUCUGUAAUGGGUUAUGGGACCGACAAUGGAAGAGGGAUCCCUAUGUAUGGACCAUUACAGGUUGGUAAGGCUGAACCAGUUAAUCUUCAGUUUGGCCACUUCGGAAUCAGCGCUUGGCCCAGUGAUGGUGGUACCAGUCAUGCUGGAAGUGUUGAUGAGUCAAGGGCGGACUGGACUGAUACUGGAAGUAAAUAUCACUCUUCUUGUUGUAGCUCACCUCGGAUGUCUGAUGGACCUGCGAAGGAGCUCAAGGAGGAACAUUCAGUGCAUGGCAGUGAUGAAGAAGUAGAUGAUCCACCAGAGGUGGAUAGUGAUGAGGAUUAUAGUGAUGAUGGUGAUAAACAUGUCCAUGAAGAGGUGUGUGCCAGAAUAUUUAUUAAAUAAUUAAUUAGGUUUAUCAAAAUCUGAGAAUUUCUCUCAUCAUUUCUAAGAGAAGAAAAUUGCUGAGAACCACUGAAAUUUGGUGUAUUCACACUAUCCUCCCAAACAACCUUGCGCUCAUAAAAGUAAACUUGUAGUCAAACUCGUAAAGCUCGAAACUUAUCCAUUACUACUGGAACAAUGUCUUGCACUUUAUGUUAAUCCUUAUUUUGAAUUUCUGGAAUUGAUAUUGAACAGAUUGGCUCAGUUGACGAGGAGUCCACAAAAUCUGAUGAGGAGUACGAUGAUCUAGCAAUGCAGGAUGUGCUACAGAAUGGGUAUUGUUCAGAUGACGAUGAGGAGUCCAAAGAUAAGGUUCUGCCUAUUACUGUUAAUAAGGCAAACCCGUUGAAAGGCGAUAAAUAUAUGCAGAAUCUAGACCGGUUCCUUAGAACUAGAAGUGAGCCACUGGGUGAGCCAUUAUGCUCGUUUUACUCUUCUCUGCUCGUGGAAAAGGGAGGAAGAAGAUUGUCAAACGCUGGUAGUGUUAAAACCAGAAAACGCUCCCUCAGCAUUCCAGCCAUGGGAAAACAUGGGUCCGUGGCUAGUGGCCCAAUACUAUCUGGAACUCCACAGAGGUAGUAGAUCAAUUUUGUGCCAACUUCUAGUUUUCCACCCAUUUUAUUUUGCCUCCUAACUUUGUAGCUGAGAGUGAUCUGGCGAUUGCCCAUCAUUGUCUAUAGUAAUGCGAGGUACUAUUGUAAGAUUUGGAAUGACUUCGAUUUAUUUUCUGUGUAAGCAAUCAAGCCAAAUGGAAAUGGUUCUAAUAAAUUAUAAAACAGCUGUGCUUUUGUGACCUUUGCUUUGCAAGUGCUAGGUGGCAUAGCUUUGUGGAAUCCUUCCAUAAAUUGAUAGGAAAUGUUCAACAAAGCAACCAGAAUAUUUUGAGAUUAGCUAACUUG
RNAcentral lists this unclassified non-coding RNA (3062 nucleotides) under Hevea brasiliensis (rubber tree). Lineage: Eukaryota; Viridiplantae; Streptophyta; Magnoliopsida; Malpighiales; Euphorbiaceae. The record is from RNAcentral.